RNAcentral lists this ribosomal RNA (497 nucleotides) under uncultured bacterium. RNAcentral's name for it is "partial 16S ribosomal RNA". It matches the Rfam family "Bacterial small subunit ribosomal RNA", at positions 28 to 507 of the family's 1533-position model. The record is from RNAcentral.
GAUGAACGCUGGCGGCGUGCCUAAUACAUGCAAGUCGAGCGAACGGACGAGAAGCUUGCUUCUCUGAUGUUAGCGGCGGACGGGUGAGUAACACGUGGAUAACCUACCUAUAAGACUGGGAUAACUUCGGGAAACCGGAGCUAAUACCGGAUAAUAUUUUGAACCGCAUGGUUCAAAAGUAAAAGACGGUCUUGCUGUCACUUAUAGAUGGAUCCGCGCUGCAUUAGCUAGUUGGUAAGGUAACGGCUUACCAAGGCAACGAUGCAUAGCCGACCUGAGAGGGUGAUCGGCCACACUGGAACUGAGACACGGUCCAGACUCCUACGAGAGGCAGCAGUAGGGAAUCUUCCGCAAUGGGCGAAAGCCUGACGGAGCAACGCCGCGUGAGUGAUGAAGGUCUUCGGAUCGUAAAACUCUGUUAUUAGGGAAGAACAUAUGUGUAAGUAACUGUGCACAUCUUGACGGUACCUAAUCAGAAAGCCACGGCUAACUACGUG